GCCGACGUAGCCCAAUUGGCAGAGGCACAGGCUUUAGGUGCCUGUCAGUGCGGGUUCGAGUCCCGCCGUCGGCA
RNAcentral lists this transfer RNA (74 nucleotides) under Actinomycetes bacterium. RNAcentral's name for it is "tRNA-Leu". It matches the Rfam family "tRNA". From Rfam's summary of the family: Transfer RNA (tRNA) molecules are approximately 80 nucleotides in length. Their secondary structure includes four short double-helical elements and three loops (D, anti-codon, and T loops). The record is from RNAcentral. Lineage: Bacteria; Bacillati; Actinomycetota; Actinomycetes. RNAcentral also lists the same sequence under 7 other names.